Molecule: ribosomal RNA, 458 nt
Filed under: uncultured bacterium
Lineage: Bacteria
Description: bacterial SSU rRNA
Rfam family: Bacterial small subunit ribosomal RNA
Source: RNAcentral
AGGACGAACGCUGGCGGUGUGCCUCACACAUGCAAGUCGAGCGGACGAAGAUUGAAGCUUGCUUCAGUCCUAGUUAGCGGCGGACGGGUGAGUAACACGUAGGAAUCUGCCUUCAGGCGGGGGACAACGGAACGAAAGUUGCGCUAAUACCCCAUAUGCGAGUAAUCGUAAAAGGAGCAAUCCACCGGAAGAUGAGCCUGCGUCCGAUUAGCUAGUUGGUAGGGUAAAAGCCUACCAAGGCUACGAUCGGUAGUUGGUCUGAGAGGAUGAUCAGCCACAAUGGAACUGAGACACGGUCCAUACUCCUACGGGAGGCAGCAGUGGGGAAUUUUACGCAAUGGGCGAAAGCCUGACGUAGCGACACCGCGUGAGCGAAGAAGCCUUUGGGGUGUAAAGCUCUGUCAGCUGGAACGAACACAAUGACGGUACCAGCAGAGGAAGCAUCGGCUAACUACGUG